This is a non-coding RNA of Cordylochernes scorpioides, 74 nucleotides long. Lineage: Eukaryota; Metazoa; Arthropoda; Arachnida; Pseudoscorpiones; Chernetidae. The record is from the annotation of a GenBank genome assembly.
UCCAGGGUAGCCUAGUGGACAUGGGAGCUGCCUGGUAAGCAGACACAUUGUGGGUUUAAUUCCCAUGCCUGGAC